GACGAACGCUGGCGGCGUGCUUAACACAUGCAAGUCGAACGGAAAGGCCCUGCUUUUGUGGGGUGCUCGAGUGGCGAACGUGUGAGUAACACGUGAGUAACCUGCUCUUGCCUUUGGGAUAACUUCAGGAAACUGGGGCUAAUACCGGAUAGGACCUCCUGCUGCAUGGUGGGGGUUGGAAAGUUUCGGCGGUUGGGGAUGGACUCGCGGCUUAUCAGCUUGUUGGUGGGGUAGUGGCUUACCAAGGCUUUGACGGGUAGCCGGCCUGAGAGGGUGCCCGGCCACAAUGGGGUUGAGAUACGGCCCAGCCUCAUACGGGAGGCAGGAGUGGGGAAUAUUGCACAAUGGGCGGAAGCGUGAGGCAGCAACGCCGCGUGCGGGAUGACGGCUUUCGGGUUGUGAUCCGCUUUCGCCUGCAACGAGGCGUGGGUAAGGGUACUUGGUAAAGAAGCACCGCCUAACUACGU
Molecule: ribosomal RNA, 467 nt
Filed under: uncultured bacterium
Lineage: Bacteria
Description: partial 16S ribosomal RNA
Rfam family: Bacterial small subunit ribosomal RNA
Source: RNAcentral